UUUUAUGGAGAGUUUGAUCCUGGCUCAGGAUGAACGCUGGCGGCGUGCCUAAUACAUGCAAGUCGAGCGAACAGACGAGGAGCUUGCUCCUCUGACGUUAGCGGCGGACGGGUGAGUAACACGUGGAUAACCUACCUAUAAGACUGGGAUAACUUCGGGAAACCGGAGCUAAUACCGGAUAACAU
Molecule: ribosomal RNA, 185 nt
Filed under: Staphylococcus capitis
Lineage: Bacteria; Bacillati; Bacillota; Bacilli; Caryophanales; Staphylococcaceae
Description: partial 16S ribosomal RNA
Rfam family: Bacterial small subunit ribosomal RNA
Source: RNAcentral